UCUUCGCAGGUCAGGUUGGCGACGCGUAUUCUUGGGGAAUUAACACACAUUUGCGAUGUUAUUGCUUGAGAAUACACGUAUUUGGCCUGGCCGGUCACGUC
Molecule: microRNA precursor, 101 nt
Filed under: Dinoponera quadriceps
Lineage: Eukaryota; Metazoa; Arthropoda; Insecta; Hymenoptera; Formicidae
Description: microRNA dqu-mir-137 precursor
Gene: dqu-mir-137
Rfam family: mir-137 microRNA precursor family (bases 15-86)
Source: miRBase by way of RNAcentral